Molecule: small nuclear RNA, 104 nt
Organism: Homo sapiens (human)
Lineage: Eukaryota; Metazoa; Chordata; Mammalia; Primates; Hominidae
Source: Ensembl
GAGCUCACUUCGGCAGCACAUAUACUAAAAUUGGAACGAUACGGGGAUUAGCAUGGCCACUGUGCAAGGAUGACACAAAAAUUCGUGAAACCUUCUGUAUUUUU